GGCCCCAUCGUCUAUCGGCUAGGACAUCUGGUUCUCAUCCAGGUAAGAGGAGUUCGACUCUCCUUGGGGCUGCCA
Molecule: transfer RNA, 75 nt
Filed under: Verrucomicrobiota bacterium
Lineage: Bacteria; Pseudomonadati; Verrucomicrobiota
Also listed under: 2 other names
Description: tRNA-Glu
Rfam family: tRNA
About the family: Transfer RNA (tRNA) molecules are approximately 80 nucleotides in length. Their secondary structure includes four short double-helical elements and three loops (D, anti-codon, and T loops).
Source: RNAcentral